GACGAACGCUGGCGGCGUGCUUAACACAUGCAAGUCGAACGGAAAGGCCCUGCUUUUGUGGGGUGCUCGAGUGGCGAACGGGUGAGUAACACGCGAGUAACCUGCCCUUGACUUUGGGAUAACUUCAGGAAACUGGGGCUAAUACCGGAUAGGAUCUCCUGCUGCAUGUUGGGGGUUGGAAAGUUUCGGCGGUUGGGGAUGGACUCGCGGCUUAUCAGCUUGUUUGUGGGGUAGUGGCUUACCAAGGCUUUGACGGGUAGCCGGCCUGGGAGGGUGAACGGGCACAAUGGGACUAAGGGACGGCCCAGACGCCUACGGGAGGCAGCAGUGGGGAGUAUUGCGCAAUGGGCGGGAGCCUGAUACAGCGAUGCCGCGUGCGGAAUGACGGCCUACGGGUUAUAAACCGCUUUCGCCUGUGACGAAGCGUGAGUGACGGUAAUGGGUAAAAAAGCAACGGCUAACUACGUG
Molecule: ribosomal RNA, 468 nt
Filed under: uncultured bacterium
Lineage: Bacteria
Description: partial 16S ribosomal RNA
Rfam family: Bacterial small subunit ribosomal RNA
Source: RNAcentral